Molecule: Y RNA, 97 nt
Filed under: Otolemur garnettii (small-eared galago)
Lineage: Eukaryota; Metazoa; Chordata; Mammalia; Primates; Galagidae
Rfam family: Y RNA
About the family: Y RNAs are components of the Ro ribonucleoprotein particle (Ro RNP), in association with Ro60 and La proteins. The Y RNAs and Ro60 and La proteins are well conserved, but the function of the Ro RNP is not known.
Source: Rfam by way of RNAcentral
GGCUGGUCCAGGUGUGCUGGUGUUUACACCCAAUAGAUCCCAACAGUUACACAUUUUUGUUCCCAUCCACUUCAUUGCUUCACUUGACUAGCCUUUA